CGGUGAGCUCUAAAACCCAUCUGGGUCCGGCCUGCCCGCCAUGAACGCCUGUUGUCUAUCUGUAGGCAUUUCAUCCCUUUCCUCCAGAAAAGGUCUCCCGGGAGGGGGCUGUCGCUCACUGCAAAAUCACCAGCUUCCCUGCACCCAGCUCAGGACCAGGUCCCAUGGUGGUCACAUGACUCGGGCCUGCCCGUGUCCUCGGUUUUCCUGGCCACAGUGAUGGUCCAGCGUUUCGUCACAUGACUGAAACUAGACCAAUCAGAGUCCUUCCCUGGGGCUUUUUCUACUGAAGCUGGGAAAUAGAGUCUCUCUCUCUCUCUCUGUCUCUGGUCCUUCUAUAUAGGGUCCUGUAAACUGGUAUGAUGUUAGUAGGUACUGUCACACCAAGGUGCUCCCUCAUGGCAGCCUCCACUCAGGGGUACCUGUCCCAUGGCACCGGCCCACACGUGGAUUUGGCUUCUGUCCUUUGCGACUGAAAAAGUCCUCACGCAUUCCCAUCUCGAAGCCUCUUAUUGUGUGCCAUGCUGGGGGACAGGGUCACUCCCCUGGAGUUGGCAUCCACAGGCCCUGCCCUGCAAUUUUACUCCAUGUCCAUCACUGCCCCCCACUGGGCCCGACGUCCCGCACUUGGAGCCCUCCGAAGGCGCUGGCCAUCUUGGCAUUCCUUGGCUUGUGGCUGCUGGGAAGUUCCAGGCCCUCGGUUUCCUCCCGGUGUUUCAGCGUCCGCAGCCAACGACAGCAUCAUCCUACAGCCCUGCACUAACUUGCGCCUGUGUUUCCCCUUCCUGAGCCAUGAGCAACCCAGAGGGACGCUUGCAGCCCUGGGGUCCAGUGCCUUUCACAAUCGUGGAACAUCUGUAGCAAAUACUGUGGCGGGAACAUCCAAACUCCACGCGUGGCUUUUGAACUCCGUGUUCGUGAACCUGUGUUUCAGCGGAUGUUCAUGACUGUCAGGCUGUAAACCGCCUCUGUCUCUGCAUCCUUAAGAAGGGGGAGAUCAUGGCUCUUGCAUCACAGGUUCCUGAGGAGGAGUCACGGGGGGCCCGUGAAGCACUUAGGACCAUGUUUGGCAUCUGGUAAACACUUCCAAGGACGUACUUGUGUACAUCUCCUCCCCUCCCCCUGCGUCCUCUUCCUUCUCUCGCCUUCUCCUAGUCUUCUCCUGUCAUUUCCUCACACCCCUUCUCUGCCUCUCAGCUCAAGGGUGACUGUCUGCCAUGGGCACCUGUCCAGCUCCGGGGGAACGCUAGGGGCUGGCCAUUGAGAUGGCUGAGAGGCCCCCUGAGCAGAAAAAAAUACCCCUGCAACUCCAUUUAUCCGUCUGGUUUGCUUCAUUCCAUCCCCACCUACCCACCCCCGAUUGAUUGAUUGAUUAUUUAUUUAUUUACUUUAAUUUUUAUUUUUGAGAGAGAGAAAGAGAGUGAGAGUGGGGGAGGGACAGAGAGCGAGGGAGACACAGAAUCUGAAGCAGGCUCCAGGCUCCAAGAUGUCAGCACAGAGGCCGACGCGGGGCUCGAACCCAAGAACGGCGAGAUCAUGACCUGAGCCGAAGUCGGUCGUUUAACCGAAUGAGCCACUCAGGCGCCCCACCACCCCCAAUUUAGAGCCUAUUUCCAGCUAGGUGACCCAGGGCACCGAUGUCCUUAUCCUCUAGACAUAAUCCCUGGCUUAUCCCCUGGGAUUGAUGGGCCUUAGAGCCCUCUGACAGACGCUGAGGGGCUGUGUCAUCAGAAGGAGUCAGCACGGGCCCCAGGAAGCUCUCCUGACCCGAGGAAGAGCUUUCCAAAGGUAAAAGGACACGUUUUCUCCUGCACAGUAUCUUUUCACUCCAAUUAUGCUGUUCCCCCCAGUCAGGUUCGCUUAGGAAAUUUUAACAUGUGAAUAGUCAGUGCUGACCAUCUGGAAUUGCUCUCUGAGAAGCCAGGGGAGUCACUAAAUUGCCAUCCAGUGGACAGUCCUGGCCCCCCGAGUCAGGGCAUCGGGCUGGGAGCGGGCCCUCCGGGCGGACCCCCGAGGUCAGCAGCAGACAACGCAUCCGGAACGGUGCUUCUUCACAGCUGGAUCCUUCUGCUGAUGUCACUGCUGAGCAUUCAGAGCGACACUCGGUGGCGAAAGAGCUAAGUCUGGAGGGACACGGAGGCAGAGGUGUGGAGUACUUCCUGGUCACCUGCUUCUCUCGUUUCUGCCUGUUCGCCUCCCGGCCUGCUUCUCUCUAGUGACAACACCCCGAUUUUCCGUCAGGAGGCCGCCUGUCCCCGUGUCAGUCCAAGAGUGAGCGUGGGACCCGGGUCCCGCCACUCAGGCGGCCCCACUUCCCUGCUUGCUCUUCUCCAUCUGGACGGGCAGGUUCCCAAAGCCACCCCAGAGAGGCCCCCGAGCCCACCAAAAUCUCAAGCUGAGCCCAGAGAUGGGGAAAGGAAGGUUUAUUUGACUUUUUCUGAAUGACCAGAUCCAGCCGCUUCCGGAGCUGACCCUCACUGGCUGUUUCAGCCUGGGAACCCGUAAGUUCUCUUUUCUGCACAACCGGCGAGGCUAGGAUCCCUGACCCGGCAACAGGAGCCCGACGUUCCUUCCCGUUCCCCCACGCCCACCCCCUUCCUGGCCCGCAGCCCACACCUUUGCCGAAGGCCUGUAUCAGUCUCCUUGGGCUGUCCUCGAAGAUGACCGCACACCGGGCGCUUCAAACAGCGGGAAUGUAUCCUGCCUUGCAGUUCCGGAGCCAGGGGUCCACAUGUAAGGUGUCGGCAGGGAUGCUCCCUCUGAGGGCCGGGGAGGAUCCCGCCUGCCUUUUCCAGCUCCUCGUGGCUCCAGGUGUUCCUUGGCUCACGGCUGCGUCACUCGGAACUCUGCCCCCAUCUUUACCUGUCCCUCUACGUUCUUUCCUCUUACAAGGAUGUGAUUUUAUUUAUUUAUUUUUUUAACGUUUGUUUUUGAGACAGAGAGAGAGAGCAUGAAUGGAGGAGGGUCAGAGAGAGGGAGACACAGAAUCUGAAACAGGCUCCAGGCUCUGAGCUGUCAGCACGGAGCCCGAUGCGGGGCUCGAACUCACGGACCACGAAAUCAUGACCUGAGCCGAAGUUGGCCGCUCAACCGACUGAGCCACCCAGGCGCCCCAAGGAUGUGAUUUUCAAUCGAGAUCCAUCUGAUGACAUCUGCAAAGACCUUAUUUCCAAAUAAGUUCCCAUUCACAGGUUCCAGGCGGGCUUAAGUGUUGAGGGGAAACUAUUCAACCCCCUGCAAAGCCUCAUCCCUUCCUACACUGCGAGCAUCCUGGUCCCAUGACCCCCAACUUUGCCUCCACACCCUGUGAGGGCUCUGGCUCUCAAUCUGGUUUGAUUCGGGAUCCAGAUUACCCCUCCCAAAACUCUCAUUCCAGGAACUCCCAUGUGCCACCUAAAACUUUCCAGAAUUUAUGGGUAAGAAAGGUAUGCAAUGUUGAUGGUAUUAAAAGGUCCAGGAAAUGACACUGGCUUCUUUUAUUUUUUUCCCUUUGGAGCAGGUCUUUAAUAUCCCAGAAAGGCUUUGAUAUGAGGGACUAUUAUAGCAAAUUACAGAAGCAUUUGAAAAGGUCUGUCUUUUAAGAGUUUUUGUUUUGUUUGUUUUUAUUUUUAUUUUUUGAGAGAGAGAGAGAGAGAGAGUGAGCACAAAUGGGGGGGUGGAGCAGAGAGAGAGAGGAAAUCCCAAGCAGACACCAUCACAGAACCAAACUUGGGGCACGACCCUAUGACCCUGGGAUCAUGACCUGAGCCAGAGUCAAGAAAGAGUUGGAUGCUUAACUGACUGAGCCCCCCAGGCGCCCCUCGUUUUUAUCCUUAAUUAUGGUAAAAUACACAUAACAUAAAAUUUAUCCCUUUAACCACUUUUAAGUAUACAGUUCAUUCAGUGGCAUUAAGUCCAUUCACACUGUUUUGGAAUCCCCACCCCCACCGUCCCUCUCCAGAACUUUCCGUCAUCCCAGACCAAAAUCCUAUAUCCGUUAAACAAAAACUCCCCAAGCUCUCCAAGCAGAGCCCCAUGUUGCUGAAUUAGGAGAUGGAAUAUUUUGGCAACAGACCACACAGCUGUCGAGUGAAAGCUCAGCUGGGGAUCAGUUUCCUCCAGGAUGGAAAACAGGACUUCCUGGCCACCUGCUUGUCCCCUCCGGCCACACCCCAUGCCCUGUACUCCUGAGGGCCCUUUCGGCGGCCUUCACUGCGCUGAGCUUCUGGUUCUUGAAUCUGAAAGCCAGGCGUGGGCCUGAUUUGUUUGAAGCCCAUGCAGCUAGCUCUGAGGCCUCAGAACGGACAGACGGUCCACUGAGUCUUGGAGGAAGAACCAGAGAUGUGACAGAGAGGGUUAGCUCCAAAGCUCACACCCGUGGAGCAGGGCUGUUACAGAGAAGGUGCUUCCCAGCCGGGCACUACAUUUCCCAGCAGCCCUGUGGGCGCAUGGGGCUCGGGGAACGGGAACAGAGUCUCGUAGGUACCGUCCAGGCUAGGGCAGGGAGACGCGGAUUCCCUCCUGCUUCCUCCCUACCUUCACAGCCCAGGGUCGGGAGACAGGAAACUUCUGUGAAGAUGGUAAAUAUUUGCCCCUGACCUACCCUGGUGCUUCCCCAAGUGGCCCCCAUGGCGAGGCACCUCCCUCCCCUCGGGAAAUGUGGGUAACAACCCAGCUUUCCAAUCUGUCGGCCUUACUAUACCUCAAGUUUUCUACCAAUACACUAUAUUUAAUUUAAUUAUUUAUUUUUAAUACACUACAUAUUUUUAAUUUUUUUUUCAGUGUAUUUAUUUUGAGAGAAAAAGAGAGAGCAUGCCUAACACCGAAGGGGCAGAGACAGAGAGAGAGAGCAGGAGAGAGAGAAUCCCAAGCAGGUCCCACAACGCAGGGCUCGAACUCACCAACUGUGACAUCAUGACCUGAGCUGAAACCAAGAGUUCAACGCUCAACCGACUGACCCCCCAGGCGCUCCUAUGCUAUAUUUUAAAGCAAAGAUUAUGAUGCUUGCUCUACUAUAACGAAGCCCUCUAUCCCUGACCCAGGAGCCCCGAGCCACCUGGCAGUGUCCAUGACUCUGAAGGAUCGACAGGCCAAUCCCAGACUGCUCAUAGUCCAACAAGACCCAGGCCCGAUACCUUGAUGGGUUUCAUGAGAGCUGUGGCGUCUGAAGAAAGCAGUGGAAGGGAGCUGGUGAGAAGGCAGACAGAUUCAGGAGGUCUGCAAGCUCCCAGGGGAAGCCGAUGCUGUUGGCCUUGGACACGCUUGAGCAGGGUCCCGGGGACGGACGCACUGGACACAAGGCUGGCAUUUACCCCUGUGCCAGGAGGAUGGGACGGAAACUUCCUUAGGCCUGCCACCUGCACCACCCUGCCUUGUAUCGAGUCCCAUUGCCCUGUCCCCACCUGAACAGGCACAGUCUCAAUUCCCAGCUCCAGGGGACCGUUGAGAGAAAGAAAACUCCCGGCAGAAAUAACCACAUUUGCUUAUGGCCUGUUUGUUCAUUUAUCUGCUCUUCUGGAAACUAAGAAGCCCUUAUUUUUAGCACCUCCCAUGCUGAAGCAUGGAUUUUUUUUUUUUUUUGCCUUCAAGCUCUCUUAAAAAGUUGACACUUCCCAGCCUAUAAACUGCAAAGUCAUGUCAAGGUUCAACAGAAAGACACAGUGGGGGAAGAGGCCUCCUGUCCCACAGCCCCAGGAAACACUCACAGGAAGAGUGUCCCUGAAGCAGGCCCCCCAGCAAAAGGCCCCGCUCCUUCAACCUUGGCUCACCCUAUGGAGUAGGGGCGGGCGUUCUGUCUGGAGUCUCCUCCCCGCGUUGACCGCUUGACCAAGUGAAACUAACCCAUGGUAGUUUAUAAGCCUCUCACUGGAAAAACGUGGGGUGUGUGAGCCAAGCGUGAACCCCCGUUUUAAAAACAUUUGCAAGGGGAUAGUUGGGGCAACUGAGGCUCGAGGCUCGAGAUGUUUCUAGCUCUGACUCACCGCGAGAACUUGGGCAAGUCUGACUUCUCUGGGUCUCGAUUUCUCUGUGAGGGACAGGGGAAUAAUGAUUGUAGACCCCUCUCCCCAGUUAUACCCCUAGAACUCGAAAGAGCUGUUGCCUGCCCUACGUGACUAAUUUUUAGCUCAAACAUCCGUGACAUCUCUUAAUGUCCGUACACAAGGAACCAUGAUGAUAGCAGCCGCCUCAAAAACAGACCAGGAGAGUCGUAAUAAUUAAUAAUGCAGUGCUAGGACAUAGAUUUCCAGGGCAGUAAUCUUCUUUGUGCCUCUGUGAGGACAGGGGGUGGCUGGUAUGAGUGAGAACGUCACCAUCAUCAACAUCAUCAUCACCGUUGAUCUUUGCAAUCAGGAGGUGCAUUCUUCCCUAGAGCCCUCAAGACACUGUGGCCUGGACUUCCUGUCCCCAGAGCUACUUCUGUUAUGGGAAGUCCCACCCCCAACACGUGGCACUUGGAAAUUAACACAGAGGGGAGCCAGGGCCCGGACCGAGAAGGCCCCAAAGGGAGCUCCGGAGGCGGCCAGAACACCCCGGCGCUGCAAGCUGGGCACCUGGAGAAGACCCAGGUCCCUCUGGUGCCAUCUGACCCACGGUGGGAAGCAGUUGGGGCGGCCGCCAGGCCAGCGUGCCCCCAGUAUCUAUGUCAGUCCAGACCUGUCCCAAGCAGCCUGGCUGUCCACCAGGCUGUCACCAAACUGACGGAAGACCCAGAUGAGGACGGGCUUUGUGGAAUGUGUUCUCUGAGCGCUCGCUGCCCGAGAGGCUGCCUGAGUUCUUUUGACGGGAAAUUGCAGAGACGAGGCUCCGUGUCCGUGCCUCUCAUCCUUCUGCACCAUACACCCGCCCUUUUUUCUCCUUUCUUCAUUUCCCCAUUCCUCUAAGCUCCUGUGAGUGCUCUGAUUGCCAACCCAAAUCCUGCCUGCCCGUCCAUCGGUAGAUCCCAGCCCCGGUCCUCACUGGCCACAUGACCACAUCGUCAUUGGCCACAUGACGCCUGGUUACAGGGACACUUCACCUUCUCCUUCUACCAAGUUCUAACGACAUAGGAGGGCCUUCCUCCUCUCGGUGAAGGGGGCGGGUCUCCAGGGCACAGGAGGCUCUUCUCGGAGCGCCCAGUGUAGUCAGGCUCAGGAAAGGACUCACAGUUUCAGGAAUCCACGGGGCGUCAAGGUUACUUGCAAAGACCAGGGGCCAGCAAACAGCCUGCGAGCCAAGAAUGGCUGUUGUGUUUUUAAAUAGUUGAGUAAAAAAAAUAAAAGAAGAAGACUAUUUUGUGACACGUGAAAAUUACAUGAAAUUCGAAGUUCGGCGUCCGCAGACAAAGUCUUACUGGAACACGGCCACACUUAACUCGCUUCCACAUUCUCUGUGGCUGCUUUGCUCUUCGGCCACAGAGCUGAGUAGCUGUGACAGGCGGCACAACCCGCGGAGCCUAACAUGUGUACCAGCUGAUGUUCCUGAGAAAGGUUGCUGGCCCGUGGGCACAGACUCUGGAGCCGGAUUGUCUAACUUCAAAUCCUAGAUCCACCGCUUACUGGCUGUGUGACAGGGGGGCAAGUUCUGUCUCCCUCUCUGCCUCCGUGUCCACAUCCCUCAAAUGGGUACAACAGUCCUUAUUUCAAAAUAUCAUUGUAAGGAUUAGAGGAACUAUCAUUUCUCAGGUCUUAGAACCGAGCCCAGCACUUAGGAGUACUAUGGAUAGGGGCCUGGAUGGCUCAGUCGGUUGAGUGUCUGACUUCGGCUCAGGUCCUGAUCUCAUGGUUUGUGGGUUCGAGCCCUGCAUCGGGCUCUGUGCUAACAGCACAGAUUUUAAAAAAUUAAAAAAAAAAAAUAGAAGUACUGUGAAUGGGUUAAAUUAUUUUCAGAUCCUUACACAUCACCAUCCUACACCAGAGUGAAAUGUAUAAGAAUUCUUAAGCUUUCCUUCUACUUGACACAGAAGGGUUCUUUAAACAUAUUGUUUUCUUUGCUUUUCAUCAUUGCCCCGUAUGCAAACAGAUCCAGGAAACCUUAGCUCAGGCUUCUCAAAUCCCAGAUGGGUUCUAAUUUGUUAUGUCGGAGGAAAAAAGUCUGUCUUCCCUAGCAGGUGCACGGGGCUGUUUUGUGAGUCACAGACGUCACCUCCUUACUCUUCAGCAUUAGAAGACAUUCUGGGCCAGCUCAACAAAUCCUGCCUGUAAAGCGAAAGCAGAAUGAGGAAGCAUGGACUUCCCACAAGGACAGGGAUGUUCUCAUUCCUGAACCGUGGUGGCUGGGGUGACGCGUGGAGGAGUCUGGGAGAGCUGGCACGGGACGGGGGACAUCCGCAGUAUCCCCACCCCCCCACCUCCCACUUCUUCCACGGGACCAAGUGCUGGUCGAGCUCCUGGCUGCUCCGUGGGAGAUUCCUCCCCUGCCCGACCUCCUGUGCAGUUUGUCGUGGUCGUGUGACCAGACGCAUCAGCGCUGGAAUGUGGGUGGGGGCGACAGGCACCACCACUGCCUCUGGGCCUUAAGUCAUGGAGCCCGUGUCCCGCCUUGCCCUCCACCUGCCUGUGAACUGCAACCACACAGAUGACAGCGAUACCCUAAGCGACAGCAAAACAGCAAGGUGACAGAACCUGGGUCCCUGAGUGAGCACGUGCAGCAGAGAAACCUGUCCCCUUGGACCCAUGGUGGAAGGACUCUCAGAGAGAGUACAUGUUUGUUAAGUCACCAUUCCGGGAGCUAGAACCCAGAACCUAGAACCUAGAACCUAGAAAAGAGGGUUAAUUAUACUUCUGCACCCACCUCGGGACGUUCCAGCGAAAAUGUCGUUUGACCAUCAAGGAGAACCACUUCUGCAUGAGACUCAGCAUUUUCCCGAGAGAGAGUCUGAUCCCUUGUAUUCUUUAGCCGCCAAGAUAAAGAGCCUCAGGCUUACGUGUGUUUUCAAGGAGCUUUGGAAAUGUUUCAGACUUGAAAAAAAUCAGAGGCCUCAAAGUAUGGAAAUAGCAAUAGGAAACUCAAAUGAUUACUUUACAUACUCCUCCAUUCAUUGUGAAAUUGAGGACACAUGAAAGUCUCACUACAUCUGAAAAACAUCUGUAAAGCCAAGUGUUCCCAUGUUACAAGAACUGGUAAGUAUGCCAGUGAUUGCUAGGACAUAACAGCUAAUUGUUAAGUUAAAUGAGCAACUUGUAGCUAAAAUCAUUUUCGGAGCAAAAUCACGGCCCCGCCCAACCGCCGCAGAGCUCAUCAUGCCAGGUGACUGCACACUUCCAGAGCUGUCUCUACGUCCCCUUUUCUCUUGCUUCCUCAUCACAAACACCAAUCAACCAAAACCUCUUUCUCUAAACACGAAAAACACGGAAGCCGACGGAGUUAGGUGGAACGCCAAACCGUUCUGGUUGCCCGCAGGGACCAGGGCUUUGCAUGUGCAUUUCAGCAGGACAGACGGUUCCUGAGCCAUAAGGUCAAAGUCACCAUCAGCUGAUGUGCAUCCAAUUGGGCUUUUCCAAUCGGACUUUCCCCAAACCCACUCCCCUGCAAGGAAGGAAAAGCAGGUAUUUUCCAAACCCACACCUUACAAAUGUCAGGGAUUUUUUUUUUUUUUAAAUGCUUGGUCUCCCUCA
Long non-coding RNA from Neofelis nebulosa (Clouded leopard), 9572 nucleotides. RefSeq lists it as uncharacterized. Lineage: Eukaryota; Metazoa; Chordata; Mammalia; Carnivora; Felidae. The record is from RefSeq and is a predicted model, not a curated record. The transcript is spliced from 3 exons.